UACAAGAUUAAGGAGUGAAUGUCAGCUGA
Molecule: non-coding RNA, 29 nt
Filed under: Homo sapiens (human)
Lineage: Eukaryota; Metazoa; Chordata; Mammalia; Primates; Hominidae
Source: RNAcentral